GUACACGCUGUGACUAGCAUAUCAAUAAGCGGAGGAAAAGAAACUAACAAGGAUUCCCCUAGUAACGGCGAGUGAAGCGGGAAGAGCUCAAAUUUGAAAUCUUAAAGGGUUUCCCUUUGACGAAUUGUAGUUUAAAGAAGUGUUUUCUGUUGAGGUUUUGGUAAAAGUUCUUUGGAAUAGGACAUCAUAGAGGGUGAGAAUCCCGUAUUUGACCUUUACUUUCAACUUUGUGAUACACUUUCAAAGAGUCGGAUUGUUUGGGAAUGCAGUCCAAAAUGGGUGGUAAAUUUCAUCUAAAGCUAAAUAUUGGCGAGAGACCGAUAGCGAACAAGUACCGUGAGGGAAAGAUGAAAAGAACUUUGAAAAGAGAGUUAAACAGUACGUGAAAUUGUCAAAAGGGAAGCGUUUGACACCAGUGUUGUUUUUCUGAAAAUCAAUUAAAGAACUGUUUAUGCUAAGUUGUUUAGACUUUAUCAGCUAUCUGUUUAGUUUUGAGCUUUUCUUUAAUGCACUUUUCAGUUAACAAGUCAACAUCAAUUUCUUUUGCUGUAAAAAAGCUUGAGGAAGGUGGCUUGAGAUUCGUCUUAAGUGUUUAUAGCCUCUUGCCUAUGCAGUCGGAGAGAUUGAGGUCUGCAGCGUAGAUCCUUCGGGGCUAAAUGCAUUUGUGCUAAGUUAUAGCAUUUUAUAGACAACUUGUUGACUAUGAUUUGUCUUGUAGCUUACUCGCUUAUGUUAUUUUACCUACGCUUAGGAUGUUGAAGAUGUAGCACAUCAU
RNAcentral lists this ribosomal RNA (775 nucleotides) under uncultured Neocallimastigales. RNAcentral's name for it is "partial large subunit ribosomal RNA". It matches the Rfam family "Eukaryotic large subunit ribosomal RNA", at positions 22 to 635 of the family's 3401-position model. Lineage: Eukaryota; Fungi; Neocallimastigomycota; Neocallimastigomycetes; Neocallimastigales. The record is from RNAcentral.